Non-coding RNA from Psilocybe cubensis, 135 nucleotides. The record is from the annotation of a RefSeq genome assembly. Lineage: Eukaryota; Fungi; Basidiomycota; Agaricomycetes; Agaricales; Agrocybaceae.
GGUGAGAUGGCCGAGCGGUCUAAGGCGCCAGACUAAGGUUAACGACCAGGAUGUUAGACAUCCAAUUAGGUAACCAAUCAUUGGUUACUUAAUAUCUGGUCCUCCGGGGCGUGGGUUCGAAUCCCACUCUCAUCA